RNAcentral lists this ribosomal RNA (253 nucleotides) under uncultured bacterium. Its description in RNAcentral is "partial 16S ribosomal RNA". It matches the Rfam family "Bacterial small subunit ribosomal RNA", at positions 524 to 776 of the family's 1533-position model. The record is from RNAcentral.
UACGAAGGGGGCUAGCGUUGUUCGGAAUUACUGGGCGUAAAGGGCGCGUAGGCGGCGUGUCAAGUCAGGCGUGAAAGCCCCGGGCUCAACCUGGGAACCGCGCUUGAGACUGGAGAACUAGAGUUCGGGAGAGGAUGGUGGAAUUCCCAGUGUAGAGGUGAAAUUCGUAGAUAUUGGGAAGAACACCGAUGGCGAAGGCAGCCAUCUGGACCGACACUGACGCUGAGGCGCGAAAGCGUGGGGAGCAAACAGG